Molecule: transfer RNA, 65 nt
Filed under: Eutetrapha metallescens
Lineage: Eukaryota; Metazoa; Arthropoda; Insecta; Coleoptera; Cerambycidae
Description: tRNA-Tyr
Source: RNAcentral
GGUAAAAUGGCUGAGAUUAGGCAAUAAAUUGUAAAUUUAUGACGAAAAUAUAUUUUCUUUUACCA